GCCUGGGUGGCUCAGCGGAUUAAGCAUCCGACUUCGGCUCAGGUCAUAAUCUCGUGGCUUGUGGGUUCGAGCCCCGCCUCAGGCU
Molecule: transfer RNA, 85 nt
Filed under: Felis catus (domestic cat)
Lineage: Eukaryota; Metazoa; Chordata; Mammalia; Carnivora; Felidae
Rfam family: tRNA
About the family: Transfer RNA (tRNA) molecules are approximately 80 nucleotides in length. Their secondary structure includes four short double-helical elements and three loops (D, anti-codon, and T loops). Further hydrogen bonds mediate the characteristic L-shaped molecular structure. tRNAs have two regions of fundamental functional importance: the anti-codon, which is responsible for specific mRNA codon recognition, and the 3' end, to which the tRNAs corresponding amino acid is attached (by aminoacyl-tRNA synthetases). tRNAs cope with the degeneracy of the genetic code in two manners: having more than one tRNA (with a specific anti-codon) for a particular amino acid; and 'wobble' base-pairing, i.e. permitting non-standard base-pairing at the 3rd anti-codon position.
Source: Rfam by way of RNAcentral